AGACGCGCUUUAUUUACAUUUUCGUCGGUCGUACUCUUCACGUGCGUUAUUAAGCGUGGCAUCAUGUAUGGAGGCCGGACGCUAUUAACCUAUUAAAGUCUACUGUCGUUGCCGCGGACUGUCCUCCGCUCGUCGCUUUUGCGACACUGUUUGUCGGCAAUACUUUUCGAAACGGACACUUUAACAUUCUACGACCAACAAAACAAAUCAAUUUAUUCUCUAAAAACUCUGAGAACUGAAAUUUUUCAAGUGCGCAAAUCUCGGGGAGAAUUAGUUCAAUUCCACUGGACUCGUAGACUUUUUUGACCUGGUGGAUCAACAAUCCUAUAUGAUUUUCAUUAAAGAGUCACUGGAAUGUCUCAUUGAAAGUCACAUAGCAACCGAUUAAUCGGGAAUAUCGCUGGCGCAAUAUAUGACGUGUAUCUCAAUUUUAAAUCGGGGGAAGAAUAACCGCGCGACGAGUGACAGUGACAGUAACAACAAUAGCUUCCUUUAUACGACACAUAUCGGAUUCAACGAGGUCGCCAUAAACCACUUAGUGUACGAACCUGUCUAUCAUUUCUCUUAAAAAAAUAUCUGCGCGAUAUUCAUAAAUUCCUCAACGAUUGAUUAUGCUACUCCAAUUAUCCGCUAAUAAACAUGUGUUCUACAUGUUUAAAUGAAUGUUUAUAAGCUAUUAGUAUCACAUUGCCUUUCAUACCAAUACGACAUAAGAAAGAUUUUCCAUGUUAAGUGUGUCACAUUUUAACAUUGCUCAAAGAAAUAGACGAUCAAGGGCCGGUUGUUAUCCGGAUAAACGAUGUGGUAAAUUAUCUAAUAGAUAAAUGUCUACAUCCAUAUGCCCAUUAUAUGUUUGUGUAUAUAGACGUAGACAUCCAUUAGAUUAGAUAAUUUGACGCAUAGUUUAUCCGAAGGUAGAACAACCUUAUAAUAAUAUUGUCGGCGCAAACGGCUAGAUUGCUGAAGGAAAGUCCUCGUGAAACGAAUUAAAAUGAUUCUCUUCAGUUUAGCCUUUUAAUGUCCAAGCAAGAAAUAGAAAGUUACGUAUCAAUAAAUUUAAAUCUAACGAUUUAAUAAUCUAAUACUUCUCGUAUACGAGAACAAGUCUUGGAAACCUCUAAAAAAAAACCGCGACGGAGAGAAAAAUCGUAAGUCAAGUUAUAACCAACUGCAGGAUUAAUGAUUUAUGAGCGGACGGUCGAGGUCUGACGAGGACGUCCUACGGAGAGUCGAUCGGAAAGCCGAUGGUUUCCCGUGAAACAAACGUUGCGCGCUGCUACCUUCCGUGGAAUGCGACCGCUUGCGAAAGGUGGAUGUGACGAGGUGCCCGGUAUCUCGCGAUAAAAAGCCUUGAGAGGAGCGUCACUUCGCCCCGCGUUUUAUUCCGCGGUGAGCGUUACGACCGACGUCUCUCGCGGCCAAUCUCGAGGCGUCGUCGUUCGCAUGAGGCACUUGUGGCAGUCACGAAGGCGUACCUACUCGGGUUUGACAGCGGCUUCGAGGAGCCCUCGAAAACUCCUCGGACGACAUUCCACGGCAGCCCACUUGACUUCAAUGCGACGUGUACUCACGCAUACGUAUACGACGGCGCUUCGCCACCGAGUACGCGGGAGAUCGGGAGAUCGAGUGGCGAUCGCUCGGUGGACGCGUUCCCCUCUAACGUGAUCAGUAGGUUGAACAUUCCUUACGUUUUAUCGGGGUUUCUCGAUCUAAUCGAGAAUUUUUUUUUUUGGUAGAUGUAAUAUUCAGUGAGGGUACGUGAGAAUUUUCUUUUGCUCGGAGAGCAUCGAUACAUUAAUUGUUUUUUAUAUAGAAGUAUUAUAUUUAUAAAAAGUUUAAAAAUUGUUAUAGUUUAAACAUUUCUUUAAUUCAAGAAUUAAAAAAAAAUUAUUCGAUGCGUAGCUUGUGAUAUAUAUAAACUUAAAAAUAUAUAAAUAAAAUCGCACAAGAAAUCUUUAUACGAAAAUCCAGCUGCGACUGAAUAAGGUUUGUCUUUAAUUUCAUUAAUUGUUUUUAUUGAUUGUGUUAAUCUAUCUCUCAUUAUCACUUGAAUCGUGUCUUCAAAUAUUAUUAAACUUUACUGCAAUGCAAUCAAACUUUAGAAUUGCAACACAAUUAAUACGAUGGUAGGUUUGCACACUGCGAUUAUUAUCUACGGCGAAAGAGGAAGUAGAACUCGGUGUACGCGGACGAACGGCAUUAGUAAACCUGGUGCGAGAAAACUGCCGGAAGACAGCGAUCAACAGUCGCCUCGAGGAGCUCGAUAAAUAAAUUAUCGUCGGCUUAUAAAUAACGAGCACGGCGAUAUGGUCCGCGCGCGUGAUCAUCCGCCUGUCUCUUCUCGGCAAGAAGAACGACGACCACGGCGAUCGAACAGGAAGUACAGACGGCGAUCGAAGCGGCCGCAGAUAACCGGCGGAUAAAUACUCGCCUAUGUCCCUUUAAGUAGCGUCGCACAGGCGGUUGCACGCCUUUUUUCUCUCCGCUCCGGUGACGAUCGCGAUACAUGUAAAUGAGAGCAGCGCGCGAUUGCGAUGGCGAUUUCGAUGCUCCAUAAAAAUAAAAAAUAAAAAAAGAUAGGCCUUCAAAGCAGUGAGAAUCAUCAUCGCAAAUGAAUUAGAUGUCGCCGUAUCAAAAAAUUGAUUUUAAUUACAGGGCAGUUAAAAUUUGAGGAUUUGUACAGAGUUUCGAUAUAAGGAUUUCAAAAUAUCGCGUAACAUUUAUAAAAUAUAAUCAAUUAUUAACGAUUACGAGAGUUUAAUAGCUGAGCAUUAAUUUCAAUUGAUUUAAGAGACAAGUUUUCAAGUCUCUCUAAAAAUUUAUUUCUCUCGCUUUCAACAACCUUCCCGCUUUCUAAAGUCGCGUGCGAUCUGAAGAAGCGCUCGUUCUUCAAGGAACGCCGCCGCCGCUUUUGCACGCGUAUAUUAUCCCUCACCCGCAAUACAAAUGCCCGUGCGCUUCUUCAUUAGGCUGUCCGAUAAUUGCACGCUCGCCAGUGCUCUGCAUGGACCUUUUGUCAAAUCGAUAAACUCAAUUUAUUCAUGAUUGCCAUGCCGCAGCUUGCAAUCCACUCCCGUAGACCCGGCAUACAUGCAUAAACGCCAUCCACGUUGCAUUCUGUUCGACGCUCCGGGGGACUGCGGUCCCGCGGCAUUCAUUGGACUUCUCUAUCAAUCCCAUUCAGCCGCUGGAUUAAUAGUCUCGAACUGCCGCGCCGUGCCAGCAAUACGCGGUUGUUUCGCGCUUCCUUUCACCAAGAGGUUCUUCACAAAUUUGAUUUAACGUCGUCCAUUUGAUAUUCAAGUUUAAAUACUUGGUAAAAGUCGAGAAAUAAAUAAUAGGUAUUAUAAGGACCUAGAACAGUGCCAUGGACUUUCGAUCCUCAACCUGGGAGGCAAGAAACCGGUACGCGGCAGGUGCGAAAAGCCGGCGUGAGGUGUCAUAAUUACCGAAUCGAGCGUGUCGAAAGCGGGGCUUUCUUUUUCUUCUCGUAAGUUUAUCGGUAGCAACUCGUAAUUCAGCCUAGGCCAACACGACCUAGACACGGGCGCAGCGCCGGAAUUUUUCUUCGAAGUCCCUUCGGGCAUCGGCAAAAUUCAACAUGGUUCCAGCGAAAUUUCAAAUUGACAGCAUCAAUUGUUAGUGAUUAGGCAUUUCGAGGAAUCGCGUGAUGGCAAAUAAUCGCCUUUACUGUGUCACUUCGUAAAGUUAUUUAAUUAUUUAUAGAUAACUUCCUUAAAAAAUUCUUUUCACUUACUUUCUGUAAUGAAUAGCAAUUUUAUAUAUUUCGUGGCAAUCUUAUAUAUGUAAUAAAUUCAAAUUUUAAUUAAGAUGCAAUAAAUUUUUAAUAAUAUUUUAAUAA
Molecule: long non-coding RNA, 3862 nt
Filed under: Monomorium pharaonis (pharaoh ant)
Lineage: Eukaryota; Metazoa; Arthropoda; Insecta; Hymenoptera; Formicidae
Description: uncharacterized LOC118647484
Source: RNAcentral